This 494-nucleotide ribosomal RNA is filed under the name uncultured bacterium. RNAcentral's name for it is "partial 16S ribosomal RNA". It matches the Rfam family "Bacterial small subunit ribosomal RNA", at positions 28 to 507 of the family's 1533-position model. The record is from RNAcentral.
GACGAACGCUGGCGGCGUGCUUAACACAUGCAAGUCGAACGGAAAGGCCUGCUUUCCCUUGUGGAUUGCGGGUACUCGAGUGGCGAACGGGUGAGUAACACGUGAGUGAUCUGCCCCCAACUUGGGUAUAAGCCUGGGAAACUGGGUCUAAUUCCCGAUAGGACUGCAGGGUGGUGCCUGUGGUGGAAAACGAUUUUCUCGUGGUUGGGGAUGAGCUCGCGGCCUAUCAGCUUGUUGGUGGGGUAAUGGCCUACCAAGGCGGCGACGGGUAGCCGGCCUGGGAGAGUGGACGGGGACAGUGGGACUGAGAUACGGCCCAGGCUCCUACGGGAGGCAGCAGUGGGGAAUAUUGAACGAGGGGGGGAAGACUGAUGCAGCGACGCCGCGUGGGGGAUGACGGCCUUCGGGUUGUAAACUCCUUUCGGCCGCGAGGAAGCCACCUGGUUGGAAGGGUGGUGACGGUAGUGGUAGAAGAAGCACCGGCUAACUACGUG